GUAGAUGAUUUAUAUUACUUGUAAUAUAAAUUUUGAAACUUUAGUGAGUAGGAAGGUACAAUGGUAUGCGUAGAAGUGUUUGGCGUAAGCCUGCAUGGAGCUGCUAUUGGUACAGAUCUUGGUGGUAGUAGCAAAUAAUCGAAUGAGACCUUGGAGGACUGAAGUGGAGAAGGGUUUCGUGUGAACAGUGGUUGAUCACGAGUUAGUCGGUCCUAAGUUCAAGGCGAAAGCCGAAAAUUUUCAAGUAAAAAUAAAAUUUACUAUAUGUAAAAAUUAUAUACUUGAAUAAUUUUGAACGAAAGGGAAUACGGUUCCAAUUCCGUAACCUGUUGAGUAUCCGUUUGUUAUUAAAUAUGGGCCUCGUGCUCAUCCUGGCAACAGGAACGACCAUAAAGAAGCCGUCGAGAGAUAUCGGAAGAGUUUUCUUUUCUGUUUUAUAGUCGUACUACCAUGGAAGUCUUUCGCAGAGAGAUAUGGUAGAUGGGCUAGAAGAGCAUGACAUAUACUGUUGUGUCGAUAUUUUCUCCUCGGACCUUGAAAAUUUAUGGUGGGGAUACGCAAACUUCUCAACAGGCCGUACCAAUAUCCGCAGCUGGUCUCCAAGGUGAAGAGUCUCUAGUCGAUAGAAUAAUGUAGGUAAGGGAAGUCGGCAAAUUAGAUCCGUAACUUCGGGAUAAGGAUUGGCUCUGAAGAUUGAGAUAGUCGGGCUUGAUUGGGAAACAAUAAUAUGGUUUAUGUGCUCGUUCUGGGUAAAUAGAGUUUCGAUCAUUUAUGGUUGUAACUUGUUCCCCGGAUAGUUAGUUACGUAUCCAAUUGUGGAACUUUCUUGCUAAAAUUUUUAAGAAUACUAGUUGGGUCAAACCAAUUAGUUCUUAUUAAUUAUAACGAUUAUCAAUUAACAAUCAAUUCAGAACUGGCACGGACUUGGGGAAUCCGACUGUCUAAUUAAAACAAAGCAUUGUGAUGGCCCUAGCGGGUGUUGACACAAUGUGAUUUCUGCCCAGUGCUCUGAAUGUCAAAGUGAAGAAAUUCAAGUAAGCGCGGGUCAACGGCGGGAGUAACUAUGACUCUCUUAAGGUAGCCAAAUGCCUCGUCAUCUAAUUAGUGACGCGCAUGAAUGGAUUAACGAGAUUCCUACUGUCCCUAUCUACUAUCUAGCGAAACCACAGCCAAGGGAACGGGCUUGGAAUAAUUAGCGGGGAAAGAAGACCCUUUUGAGCUUGACUCUAAUCUGGCAGUGUAAGGAGACAUAAGAGGUGUAGAAUAAGUGGGAGAUAUUAGACUUCGGUUUGGUAUCGCCAAUGAAAUACCACUACUCUUAUUGUUUCCUUACUUACUUGAUUAAAUGGAACGUGUAUCAUUUCCUAGCCAUUAUACGGAUAUAUUUAUUAUAUCUUAUGGUAUUGGGUUUUGAUGCAAGCUUCUUGAUCAAAGUAUCACGAGUUUGUUAUAUAAUCGCAAACAAAUUCUUUAAUGAGAGAUGCAUUUACUGUAUUAUUGAUUUGAAAAUUUGGUAUAACUCCAAUUACUCAGGUAUGAUCCAAUUCAAGGACAUUGCCAGGUAGGGAGUUUGACUGGGGCGGUACAUCUCUCAAAUAAUAACGGAGGUGUCCCAAGGCCAGCUCAGUGCGGACAGAAACCACACAUAGAGCAAAAGGGCAAAUGCUGACUUGAUCUCGGUGUUCAGUACACACAGGGACAGCAAAAGCUCGGCCUAUCGAUCCUUUUGGUUUAAAGAGUUUUUAACAAGAGGUGUCAGAAAAGUUACCAUAGGGAUAACUGGCUUGUGGCGGCCAAGCGUUCAUAGCGACGUCGCUUUUUGAUCCUUCGAUGUCGGCUCUUCCUAUCAUUGUGAAGCAAAAUUCACCAAGCGUUGGAUUGUUCACCCAUGCAAGGGAACGUGAGCUGGGUUUAGACCGUCGUGAGACAGGUUAGUUUUACCCUACUAAUGACAAAACGUUGUUGCGACAGCAUUCCUGCGUAGUACGAGAGGAACCGCAGGUACGGACCAAUGGCACAAUACUUGUUCGAGCGAACAGUGGUAUGACGCUACGUCCGUUGGAUUAUGCCUGAACGCCUCUAAGGUCGUAUCCGUGCUGGACUGCAAUGAUAAAUAAGGGGCAAUUUGCAUUGUAUGGCUUCUAAACCAUUUAAAGUUUAUUAUUUAUAUUUUAAACGACAAUGGAUGUGAUGCCAAUGUAAUUUGU
Molecule: ribosomal RNA, 2207 nt
Filed under: Drosophila ananassae
Lineage: Eukaryota; Metazoa; Arthropoda; Insecta; Diptera; Drosophilidae
Description: eukaryotic LSU rRNA
Rfam family: Eukaryotic large subunit ribosomal RNA
Source: RNAcentral